RNAcentral lists this transfer RNA (73 nucleotides) under Streptomyces sp. PVA_94-07. The record is from RNAcentral. Lineage: Bacteria; Bacillati; Actinomycetota; Actinomycetes; Kitasatosporales; Streptomycetaceae.
CGCCUUCGUCGCGGGCGCCGCCGUGGGCCUCGGCGCCGACGCCCUGCCCACCCGCAGGCGCCGCGUCCCCGUG